Long non-coding RNA from Equus caballus (horse), 1640 nucleotides. Lineage: Eukaryota; Metazoa; Chordata; Mammalia; Perissodactyla; Equidae. The record is from Ensembl.
GUUUGGACUGUGAAGUGUAAAAUUUCAUACCAUAAACUCUUCAGUCCCACUGGAGGCACAGAACACUCACAUCCUCUCCAUAUGCUGGACAGUCUUCCCAGGCAGCUCACUUGAAAAGGAUGCCAUUGGCACUUCUGCAAAGUGGUCAUCCGAAAGCUUUCACUUUGCUGGUGAGGAGCACGUCCGGAUUCAACACAGUUCCAUUCAAAAUCCCAGCAGGACGGCACGUCUCCAAAUCUGAACAGACACUUCACCAAAUUUAAUAUAAGAUGACAAAUAGCCACAUGAAAAGAUGCUGAACAUCAUGGUCAUCAGGGAAACACAUAUUAAAAGCUCAGUGAGGUCCUACCUCAUGCCUACUGGAAGGGUGAAAAUUUUGACAGCCGGCCAUACCAAGUUUUAGCAAGGAUGUGGAGCAAGUGGAACUCUCACACUUCUGAUGGGAAUAUAAAUAAUAAAAACCACUUUGGAAAACAGUUUGACAGUUUCUUAAAAAUUUAAAAACACAAUACCAUAUGACCCAGGGGUUUUAAUCCUAGAUAUUUAUCUAAGAGAAAUAAAAGGAUAUGUCCACAAAAAGACAUAUGCCACUACACACCUAUUUAGAAAGGCCCAAGUUCAGAACACUGACAACACCAAAUGUGGCGAUGAUGUGGAACAAUGGGCCUCUCAUUCAUUGCUAGUGGGAAUGCAAAAUGGCGCACCACUUUGAAAGACAGUUUGGCAGUUUCUUACAAAACUAAGCAUACUCUUACUACAUGAUCCAGCAAUCAUGCUCCUUGGUAUUUACCCAAGUGAAUUGAAAACUUAUGUCCAUAAAAUAACCUGCACACAGAUGUUUACAGAAGCUUUAUUCGUAAUUGCCCAAACUUGGAAGCAACCAAGGUGUCCUUCAGUAGGUGAAUGGAUAAAUAAACUGUGGUGCAUCCAGACAAUGGAAUAUGAUUCGCAUGAAAAAGAAAUGAGCUAUCAAGCCCUGAAAAUACAUGGAGGAACCUUAAAUGCAUAUUACUAAGUGAAAGAAACCAAUCUAAAAGACUACAUACUGUGUGAUUCCAACUAUAUGACAUUCUGGAAAAGGCAAAACUACAGAGACAGUAAAAAGGUCUAUGUUGCUAGGGGUUGGGGGAAGGAGGGAUAGACGAAUAGGCAGAGCACAGAGGCAUUUUAGGGCGGUCAAAAUACUCUACAUGAUGCUUUAAUGAUGGAUGUAUCUGUCAUUAUACAUUUGUUCAAAUCCGUAGAAUGUAUAACACCACGAAUGAACUCUAACAUAAGCUCUGGACUUUGGGUCAUACUGUUGAAUCAAUGUAGGUUCACCAAUGGUAACAAAUGUACCACUCUGCUGGGAGAUGUUGACAGUGUGGCAAGAUGUGCACGUGGGUGGUAGGGGUAUAUGGGAACUCUGUAAUUUCCAUUCAAUUUUGCUGUGAUUCUAAAACCACUCUAAAAAAAGUCUGUUUCUAAAAAAAGACUUGUACACAAAUGUUCUUAUCAGAUUUAUUUGUAAUAGUCAAAAACUGGGAACAACUCAAAUGUCCAUCGAGAAGUGAGUGAACAAAUUGUGGUAAGAAUUAUUGAUAUAUAUACAACAUGAUGAGUCUCAAAAUAACUAUGCUAAUUGAAAUACAAUAGAAAAA